GCCGCGUGAGUGAAGAAGGCCUUUGGGUUGUAAAGCUCUUUUGUAGGGGAAGAUAAUGACUGUACCCUAAGAAUAAGGUCCGGCUAACUUCGUGCCAGCAGCCGCGGUAAUACGAAGGGACCUAGCGUAGUUCGGAAUUACUGGGCGUAAAGCGCGCGUAGGCCGUUGAGUUAGUUAAUUGUGAAAUCCCAAAGCUUAACUUUGGAACUGCAAUUAAAACUGCUCGACUAGAGUUUGAUAGAGGAAAGCGGAAUACAUAGUGUAGAGGUGAAAUUCGUAGAUAUUAUGUAGAACACCAGUUGCGAAGGCGGCUUUCUGGGUCAACACUGACGCUGAGGCGCGAAAGUAUGGGUAGCAAAGAGGAUUAGAUACCCUCGUAGUCCAUACCAUAAACGAUGAUUGCUAGAUGUUGGAAAUUUAUUUUCAGUAUCGCAGCUAACGCAUUAAGCAAUCCGCCUGGGGAGUACGACCGCAAGGUUAAAACUCAAAUGAAUUGACGGGGACCCGCACAAGCGGUGGAGCAUGUGGUUUAAUUCGAAGAUACGCGCAGAACCUUACCAACCCUUGACAUGUCUGUCGCGAGUUUAGGAAACUAGACUUUUCGGGUUCGGCCGGACAGAACACAGGUGCUG
RNAcentral lists this ribosomal RNA (632 nucleotides) under uncultured bacterium. RNAcentral's name for it is "bacterial SSU rRNA". It matches the Rfam family "Bacterial small subunit ribosomal RNA", at positions 396 to 1043 of the family's 1533-position model. The record is from RNAcentral.